GCUAACUACGUGCCAGCAGCCGCGGUAAUACGUAGGGUGCAAGCGUUAAUCGGAAUUACUGGGCGUAAAGCGUGCGCAGGCGGUCUUGUAAGACAGGUGUGAAAUCCCCGGGCUUAACCUGGGAACUGCAUUUGUGACUGCAAGGCUAGAGUACGGUAGAGGGGGAUGGAAUUCCGCGUGUAGCAGUGAAAUGCGUAGAUAUGCGGAGGAACACCGAUGGCGAAGGCAAUCCCCUGGACCUGUACUGACGCUCAUGCACGAAAGCGUGGGGAGCAAACAGGAUUAGAUACCCCUGUAGUC
RNAcentral lists this ribosomal RNA (300 nucleotides) under uncultured Curvibacter sp. RNAcentral describes it as "bacterial SSU rRNA". It matches the Rfam family "Bacterial small subunit ribosomal RNA", at positions 496 to 795 of the family's 1533-position model. Lineage: Bacteria; Pseudomonadati; Pseudomonadota; Betaproteobacteria; Burkholderiales; Comamonadaceae. The record is from RNAcentral.